This 844-nucleotide ribosomal RNA is filed under the name Alternaria sp. Its description in RNAcentral is "eukaryotic LSU rRNA". It matches the Rfam family "Eukaryotic large subunit ribosomal RNA", at positions 51 to 919 of the family's 3401-position model. Lineage: Eukaryota; Fungi; Ascomycota; Dothideomycetes; Pleosporales; Pleosporaceae. The record is from RNAcentral.
CGGGGAGAUCAACAGGGAUUGCCCUAGUAACGGCGAGUGAAGCGGCAACAGCUCAAAUUUGAAAUCUGGCUCUUUUAGAGUCCGAGUUGUAAUUUGCAGAGGGCGCUUUGGCUUUGGCAGCGGUCCAAGUUCCUUGGAACAGGACGUCACAGAGGGUGAGAAUCCCGUACGUGGUCGCUGGCUAUUGCCGUGUAAAGCCCCUUCGACGAGUCGAGUUGUUUGGGAAUGCAGCUCUAAAUGGGAGGUACAUUUCUUCUAAAGCUAAAUAUUGGCCAGAGACCGAUAGCGCACAAGUAGAGUGAUCGAAAGAUGAAAAGCACUUUGGAAAGAGAGUCAAACAGCACGUGAAAUUGUUGAAAGGGAAGCGCUUGCAGCCAGACUUGCUUGCAGUUGCUCAUCCGGGCUUUUGCCCGGUGCACUCUUCUGUAGGCAGGCCAGCAUCAGUUUGGGCGGUAGGAUAAAGGUCUCUGUCACGUACCUCUCUUCGGGGAGGCCUUAUAGGGGAGGCGACAUACUACCAGCCUGGACUGAGGUCCGCGCAUCUGCUAGGAUGCUGGCGUAAUGGCUGUAAGCGGCCCGUCUUGAAACACGGACCAAGGAGUCUAACAUCUAUGCGAGUGUUUGGGUGUCAAGCCCGAGCGCGUAAUGAAAGUGAACGGAGGUAGGACCCCGCAAGGGUGCACUAUCGACCGAUCCUGAUGUCUUCGGAAGGAUUUGAGUAAGAGCAUGGCUGUUGGGACCCGAAAGAUGGUGAACUAUGCUUGAAUAGGGUGAAGCCAGAGGAAACUCUGGUGGAGGCUCGCAGCGGUUCUGACGUGCAAAUCGAUCGUCAAAUUUGGGCAUA